AGAGUUUGAUCCUGGCUCAGGAUGAACGCUGGCGGUCUGCUUAACACAUGCAAGUCGAACGGGACUCUUCGGAGUUUAGUGGCGGACGGGUGAGUAACGCGUGAGAAUCUGCCCUUAGGUUGGGGACAACAGUUGGAAACGACUGCUAAUACCCAAUGUGCCGAGAGGUGAAAGGUUAACUGCCUGGGGAUGAGCUCGCGUCUGAUUAGCUAGUUGGAGUGGUAACGGCACACCAAGGCGACGAUCAGUAGCUGGUCUGAGAGGAUGAUCAGCCACACUGGGACUGAGACACGGCCCAGACUCCUACGGGAGGCAGCAGUGGGGAAUUUUCCGCAAUGGGCGAAAGCCUGACGGAGCAAGACCGCGUGAGGGAGGAAGGCCUAUUGGUUGUAAACCUCUUUUGAUAGGGAAGAACACAAUGACGGUACCUAUCGAAUCAGCAUCGGCUAACUCCGUGCCAGCAGCCGCGGUAAUACGGAGGAUGCAAGCGUUAUCCGGAUUUAUUGGGCGUAAAGCGUCCGUAGGUGGCAAACCAAGUCAGUUGUUAAAGCGUAGAGCUUAACUCUAUAAGGGCAAUUGAAACUGGUUAGCUAGAGUGCGAUAGGGGCAAGGGGAAUUCCCAGUGUAGCGGUGAAAUGCGUAGGUAUUGGGAAGAACAUCGGUGGCGAAGGCGCCUUGCUGGGUCUGCACUGACACUGAGGGACGAAAGCUAGGGGAGCGAAAGGGAUUAGAUACCCCUGUAGUC
RNAcentral lists this ribosomal RNA (745 nucleotides) under cyanobacterium enrichment culture clone 4_4_4.3.8_A09-T7. RNAcentral's name for it is "bacterial SSU rRNA". It matches the Rfam family "Bacterial small subunit ribosomal RNA", at positions 8 to 795 of the family's 1533-position model. Lineage: Bacteria; Bacillati; Cyanobacteriota. The record is from RNAcentral.